This is a long non-coding RNA of Zea mays, 689 nucleotides long. RefSeq lists it as uncharacterized. The transcript is spliced from 2 exons. NCBI's taxonomy places the organism in Eukaryota, Viridiplantae, Streptophyta, Magnoliopsida, Poales, Poaceae. The record is from RefSeq and is a predicted model, not a curated record.
AAUUAUGGAAGGGAUAUUUACCUUAAUUAGGGAUGGAAACCGGUCGAUUCCCCGUGUCCAAAUCUCGCCUGAGAUAUACCCGAGGUAUGUUUUUUGGCCCAUUUGGAAGGCACACAGCCGAUCCAAUUCUAUCCCGACGCGUAGGGUUUCCUGUGGCAGCGCUCCCGGCCACUAGAGGUCGGGCAACAUUCCCCAGUUUGGAAGGACACGAGUGGAUCCAAUCGACUGCACUCCACCGCCACCAUCUCCACCAGCAUCGCCCACACCGCUGUCAUCCGCUCCGUCGCUGUGCCAUCGUCGUCCACUGUGCCGCCAUCCGCUCCACCGUCGUGCCAUCGUCGUCCACUGAGCCGCCAUUGGAAGAGUGCUAAGUGGAAGCAACAUAUGAAGCUCACAUGGAGAAGGAAAAUGGAACGACAGUCCACAUGAAGCUUGUAAAAAAGGAGUUAAACUCAUAAUACUUUCUAGUGUCAAAGUUCAACAUGAUACAUGGUUGUGGGUUUUUAUUUGUGCAUCUAGUGCAUAUUUCUACGUGUGAAUUGAGAUGAUCUUAUGUGAUGUGAUGAUGACUAGAUUAACUUUCUUGGAUAUUAGAUGAUAUUUAAGUUAAACUUUGUUGUAUAUUAGAUGAUCAUGUUGGGUGCAUGUUUUUUAGAUUUUUAGUGAUGUUUCAUUGUGUUUUUGAUUUU